ACGAACGCUGGCGGCGUGCCUAAUCCCUGCAAGUAGCACGCUGAAGGAGGAGCUUGCUUCUCUGGAUGAGUUGCGAACGGGUGAGUAACGCGUAGGUAACCUGCCUGGUAGCGGGGGAUAACUAUUGGAAACGAUAGCUAAUACCGCAUAAGAGUAGAUGUUGCAUGACAUUUGCUUAAAAGGUGCAAUUGCAUCACUACCAGAUGGACCUGCGUUGUAUUAGCUAGUUGGUGGGGUAACGGCUCACCAAGGCGACGAUACAUAGCCGACCUGAGAGGGUGAUCGGCCACACUGGGACUGAGACACGGCCCAGACUCCUACGGGAGGCAGCAGUAGGGAAUCUUCGGCAAUGGACGGAAGUCUGACCGAGCAACGCCGCGUGAGUGAAGAAGGUUUUCGGAUCGUAAAGCUCUGUUGUAAGAGAAGAACGAGUGUGAGAGUGGAAAGUUCACACUGUGACGGUAUCUUACCAGAAAGAGACGGCUAACUACGUG
Molecule: ribosomal RNA, 494 nt
Filed under: uncultured bacterium
Lineage: Bacteria
Description: partial 16S ribosomal RNA
Rfam family: Bacterial small subunit ribosomal RNA
Source: RNAcentral